RNAcentral lists this ribosomal RNA (1263 nucleotides) under Triticum aestivum (bread wheat). RNAcentral's name for it is "partial small subunit ribosomal RNA". Lineage: Eukaryota; Viridiplantae; Streptophyta; Magnoliopsida; Poales; Poaceae. The record is from RNAcentral.
AUGGAGGAGGGGGGAGACGGAUCCCUGGAGGCGCGGCCCGGCGUCCUGCUCGUCGGCGCCCCCGGCGUGGGCAAGCGAACCAUCCUCUCCCGGUUGCUUGGGGCGGAAGUGCCGGACACAUCCGACUUGUCCUCCGGUGUGCUAUGUCAGGGGUGGAAAAUUGACACCAAGUACUACUCUGCUGAUAUUUCCAUUUGGACAGCACAUCUCAAGGAAGGGUUUUCUCUUGGCUCGCUCCCUCAUCUGGACCAACUGGCUGCUCUUGUUAUGGUCUUCGAUAUGAAUGAUGAAUCGUCCUUACAUACCCUCCGAAAUUGGGUUGGUAAUAUUGAUGUCCAGAGGUUUGAAGUUGUGCUGUGCAUCGGAAAUAAAGCAGAUCUUGUGCCUGGCCAUGGUGCGCAUGUAGAGUACAGGAGGCGCAUGCAAAGGAUUGGCGAGUCAAGUAGUGAUCCACAUCCUGAAUAUUUGGAUUUUGGGAUAAAUGAAAAUGAAGGUUGUGGUUUGUUAUCAGAGGAAGAACCACAAAUAGAGAUCAGAGACUCCACUUUGAAGUGGUGCAUUGAGCAUAGUAUUGAGUAUAUUGAAGCUUGUGCUUCCAAUGCUGACUUUGACAAAUGCCUAUCAGUGGAUGGUGAUAGCCAAGGCCUAGAGCGACUCUUUGGAGCCCUUUCUGCACACAUGUGGCCUGGAAUGAUUCUGAAAUCUGGAAAUAAAAUUACUAGUCCAUCCUUGGUCGAAAAAGAUGAAUCUACAGAUGAUGAAUUGACUUAUGAAUUUGACUACGAGGUCCUAUCCCAUGCAUCUGAUGAGCAAUGGGAAUUCGUCGGUGAAUCGAGUACAUCAAGAAGCUUGGAAGGAUUGGAUGAAGCUAAAUCUAUGCAGGACAACACACAGCAAGUUGUGAACGGCAAUGCUAGUUCUUCGGCGCCCAACCCUCUUCCAAAUGACAGAUCUACAGAACCUGCUGAAGAAAAUCCUGUAACUCAGAGUCACACAACUGAAGAUAGUAGUAAUCAUGUGGAUAACACUGGAGCAGAUACUUCUGAGGACCAGCGAACUGACACCCCAGAGGUCAAUGCACUGUUUGAGGAUGAUCAUUAUGGCGUAGAUGAUCUGGAGCGACUAAUGUCAGAGAUUGGCAACAUGCGCUCCAACCUAAGGCUCGUUCCUGACUUCCAAAGGAGGGAGAUGGCUGCCAAGAUAGCCAUGAAAAUGGCAACCAUGUUUGGUGAUAGUGACGACGAGGGCUUCCAUGCUGUCUAA